Polypterus senegalus (gray bichir) is the source of this 696-nucleotide long non-coding RNA. RefSeq lists it as uncharacterized. The record is from RefSeq and is a predicted model, not a curated record. The transcript is spliced from 2 exons. NCBI's taxonomy places the organism in Eukaryota, Metazoa, Chordata, Cladistia, Polypteriformes, Polypteridae.
UAACAUUUUUAGCCUCCUUAAACUGGUAACAAAGGCGACUUUAUUUACUGAAGUGUGUUUGAACUUGUCUUUGGAACUUGAACCGAGGUGUGCCUGCCACAAAUCAUCCAAUGUGCUGUUCAUAACCCUGCAAACAGAAAGUAAGAUUAAGAUCAAUACAUCAAUAAAAACACUGAAAAAGAAAUUCUUUUUCCUUAACCUUCCCAGUGCAAGGUCCUUCAUGUCCACACUCUAUAGUUCUUAUCUCUGUUACCACUUAUAAAUACCGACACUCCUCAGCCUCCGAAAACAGAAGUCCAGCUUGUCUUGGUGUUCACUGACUGUGGAGAUCCUGAGUGCUGAGUUCCUCCUGCCUGCCCUGCUGUGUCUCCAUUACGGUGAAGCCGUUGCUCUCCAUUUCAGGCACUCCAAGUUCAUACUGUAAAAUGCUGAGGCUCCAACCUUGUCAUCCCCGUUUAAUUAAGUCAAAAUGAAACCAAACAAGGGCUGCUAUGUGUGCUCCUAGAAGAAAUAACAAAAAUCAAAGCAGGUAAGCCAGUUGUUUUUCAAUAGACGUUGGGUAUUUGGGAGUUUCGCUCUUUAGUUCGGUUGAUUCAAUGCGGACCACCUUACCAGUGGACCACCAGUGGGUUUUAAAGGUAGGAGACUGGAAGGGGAGGAGUCAAUCACCCUCACUGGGUGUUCUCUCGAUGCUGU